CCUGGCCUUGCCAAAGUGCUGACAUUGCAGGUAGUGACGACUUAUCUUUCUACUGCAGUGCAAGCACUUGUAGCUGGGCCGU
This is a microRNA precursor of Petromyzon marinus (sea lamprey), 82 nucleotides long. Ensembl annotates it as pma-mir-17a. Its record names the gene pma-mir-17a. The record is from Ensembl. NCBI's taxonomy places the organism in Eukaryota, Metazoa, Chordata, Hyperoartia, Petromyzontiformes, Petromyzontidae.